GAUGAACGCUGGCGGCGUGCCUAAUACAUGCAAGUCGAGCGAACGGACGAGAAGCUUGCUUCUCUGAUGUUAGCGGCGGACGGGUGAGUAACACGUGGAUAACCUACCUAUAAGACUGGGAUAACUUCGGGAAACCGUAGCUAAUACCGGAUAAUAUUUUGAACCGCAUGGUUCAAAAGUGAAAGACGGUCUUGCUGUCACUUAUAGAUGGAUCCGCGCUGCAUUAGCUAGUUGGUAAGGUAACGGCUUACCAAGGCAACGAUGCAUAGCCGACCGGAGAGGGUGAUCGGCCACACGGGAGCUGAGACACGGUCCAGGCUCCUACGGGAGGCAGCAGUAGGGAAUCGUCCGCAGUGGGCGGAAACCUGACGGAGCAACGCCACGUGAGAUGUGGAGGUGUUCGGAGCGUAAAACUCUGUUAUUAGGUAAGAACAUAUUUGUAAGUAACUGUGCGCAUCUUGACGGUACCUAAUCAGAAAGCCACGGCUAACUACGUG
RNAcentral lists this ribosomal RNA (497 nucleotides) under uncultured bacterium. Its description in RNAcentral is "partial 16S ribosomal RNA". It matches the Rfam family "Bacterial small subunit ribosomal RNA", at positions 28 to 507 of the family's 1533-position model. The record is from RNAcentral.